CCUACGGGUGGCAGCAGUGAGGAAUAUUGGUCAAUGGCCGAGAGGCUGAACCAGCCAAGUCGCGUGAGGGAAGACGGCCCUACGGGUUGUAAACCUCUUUUGUCGGGGAACAAAGCGAACCACGUGUGGUUCAUUGAGAGUACUCGAAGAAAAAGCAUCGGCUAACUCCGUGCCAGCAGCCGCGGUAAUACGGAGGAUGCGAGCGUUAUCCGGAUUUAUUGGGUUUAAAGGGUGCGUAGGCGGAGUUGCAAGUCAGCGGUAAAAUAGCGGGGCUCAACCCCGUACUGCCGUUGAAACUGCAUACCUUGAGAGCGCGAGAAGUAUGCGGAAUGAGUUGUGUAGCGGUGAAAUGCAUAGAUAUCACGUAGAACACCGAUAGCGAAGGCAGCAUAUCGGAGCGCAACUGACGCUCAUGCACGAAAGCAUGGGUAUCGAACAGGAUUAGAUACCCGUGUAGUC
RNAcentral lists this ribosomal RNA (459 nucleotides) under uncultured bacterium. Its description in RNAcentral is "partial 16S ribosomal RNA". It matches the Rfam family "Bacterial small subunit ribosomal RNA", at positions 338 to 795 of the family's 1533-position model. The record is from RNAcentral.